ACGAACGCUGGCGGCGUGCUUAACACAUGCCAGUCGAACGGAAAGGCCCCUUUGGGGGUACUCGAGUGGCGAACGGGUGAGUAACACGUGAGUAACCUGCCCUUGACUUCGGGAUAACUUCAGGAAACUGGGGCUAAUACCGGAUAGGAAUCCUUGCUGCAUGGUGGGGGUUGGAAAGCUUCGGCGGUUUUGGAUGGACUCGCGGCUUAUCAGCUUGUUGGUGGGGUAGUGGCUUACCAAGGCUUUGACGGGUAGCCGGCCUGAGAGGGCGACCGGCCACAGUGGGACUGAGAUACGGCCCAGACUCCUACGGGAGGCAGCAGUGGGGAAUAUUGCACAAUGGGCGGAAGCCUGAUGCAGCAACGCCGCGUGCGGGAUGACGGCCUUCGGGUUGUAAACCGCUUUCAGCAGGGGCGAAGCUUGUGGUGACGGUACCUGCAGAAGAAGCACCGGCUAACUACGUG
RNAcentral lists this ribosomal RNA (464 nucleotides) under uncultured bacterium. Its description in RNAcentral is "partial 16S ribosomal RNA". It matches the Rfam family "Bacterial small subunit ribosomal RNA", at positions 29 to 507 of the family's 1533-position model. The record is from RNAcentral.